This is a long non-coding RNA of Pocillopora damicornis (cauliflower coral), 3059 nucleotides long. The record is from RefSeq and is a predicted model, not a curated record. Lineage: Eukaryota; Metazoa; Cnidaria; Anthozoa; Scleractinia; Pocilloporidae.
UUAAAUCUACAACCUGUAAAGAAUACAAACUAAACUCCGAGGAUGUAUAUUUUACAUGGCAUCCAGAAUAUACUUGAUGCCUUUUAGUUCGCAUUAAGGACAAGGAAUAGCACUCGACUCUGGGGAGCUCUUUAGUGCCCCAGAUGUUUGCAUUUAACGAAGAUGAAAUUCAGUGGGCUCUUAACUUAAAAGCGUACAUGCCAAAAUAAAAGAAAAGAGAAAUUACAAGUAUGGUAAACCUAUUCUUUUCAAAAUAAAUUUUAUUUUUGGUCGUUUCAUUCCUUAAUUUAACGUAUCUCUUUCUCUCCUUAAAAAUGUAACCAAAUCUGAAUAACAUUUCGUUGCAUUCGUUGCACGCCUCUAAUUUUACAAGAACUAUUUUACCUUUUUUUUUUGGCGGAAUGCGCUUUCAGCUUUCAUAGGUUAAUAAUUAUCAAAAGCUCAGCGCUAAGUAAAAGUUUGUAUGAGCUGGCUACGCGCACCACAGCGCGAGAUGAAAGGUAAAAACAGAAUGAAGGAAACUCACAACCGGUGCUUUGAAAAUAUUAAAUGAUGUUGCCAGAAACCAGACGAAAGCUGCAUUAAGGAAAUAUAAGCAUACAUGUAAGUUUGUAUGUCAUAACAAAUGGCAUAGAAAUUAGUCGCAAGUUUUUUAUGUACUAUGGUACAUUAAGAGUUUAUUACAUUUUUAUAAUGGGAAACAUAUGUUCGAUGUACCUACACACAGUUUGGUCUUAGCUUAGAUUCAUAGUUUAAUUGCAGAAAAAGAAUCAAAGAUAAAAUGAAAGGAAAAAAAUGAGUAUGAAUUGAUCUUAUGAUGUUCAGUGCGGGAACUUGGGAAAAUCUCAAGCUCUGACAAAUGAAUAUUCCACCUCUAUGUACAUACAAUGCGGGUGGCUGUCUUUUGUAAAGCUAACUGUUUCUGCCAUUUGGAUAUUUUCACGAUAUGUGGAAACUGCAGAAUUACAUCCGCGCCUUAACAAUACGUCUUACAUCAAAUCACAAAAGAAAGUCGCCAAUGGCAGCAAAAACCCAUGUGCACAACGAUACAGAUAUCGAGACCGGAAGAUCAUCUUUUUUACUUUACAUCAUUGGCAGCGAAAAUACAAGUCUCAAGAACAAAAAAAAAACUUCUGUAUGAUAUGAUCGAGGUUUUUCUUCCUCUGGUUACGGGCAAGAUCGGCUCGGCAACAUUUUCUCUAAUUGCAAGAGAUUUCAUAUUUCCUCUUGUAAUUACUUUCUCACAAAAUCUCGAAAGAACCAAUUCAUUUAUGUGGGGUAUGCGUGCUCAGAAGCCUAUUGCUUUUGCCUUUGUGAACCUGAGGGAUGCCCCCUUUUUUCUUAAAUUUCUGUAUAAUUUAUAAUUUUUCCGAAAUGUCACGGAAAUGACAACUGCCACGAUCGUUCGAUGCUGUUUUUCAUGACCUCCGUUUGAAAAGAUAAAACAAAUAGUACACUGACAAAAAAUUACUUAGCGGUCACUAAAAUUGCCUCCGCUGUAGGAUAAGCAAACAAAAUUUUACGCUAUAUCAGUAAUAAGUGUCGAGCCUUUAAUCGACAAGAAAUCUCUAUUUCCUUGGGAACUUUUCGCAAGCAACACGAUCAAAAUCUGGAAAUCGUCUUACGAAAGAAAAAAAAUAAUGAAAACAAAACAAAUGAAUGAACUUGGCCAGAAGGUUGUUCCUUAAGUCGAAACUUCAAAUGUACCUUGUGCUCGCGAACUUUCGAGAAAAGGCACUCCACGAGGAACACCAGAGAAAAAAAUUCAGUUUCACUUUGAAUUGAAAGAAAUAUUCUCCUUUUGUUAAACUUUCAAUGGAAUUUGCCUUUAUUCAUCGUAAUAAUGGAAAUAAAACAGUCACGUACGAAAAUGAAUUUGAAAUUAAAAUGUCCUUUCUCAAGUACAUGACAAAGAUAAGAAUUGUAAGUUCAAGAAUUUUUGUUUGUUUGCCAAUGGAAAAAUGGAUAGCACCGUCAGGUCCUCGCUAUUUUCAAUGAAGAAUAAGUAACCUUUUAAUUUUUAACAAAAUUAAAUGGGUGUAAGGGCGUGAAAUAGCAAAAAGACACAACAGAAAUGAGUCACACGAUGUGAAUCAAAGAGAGUCUUGAGUCCUGCUGUUUCAGUCAGCAAACAGCGAAUUUUACGAUCAAUCACUCGCACAAUGAGCAAGUGGAUGUGUCGAUUAUGAAGGACGAUAAAUCAGGAAAAAUAGAAAAAUAUCGUCACGUUUGUUCCUCGCUGAAACAACAGUUUUGCCAAUUUAUCGCUUACCUGUGAAUUAAGUUCAACGGCCACUACUCUCUGAGGAUAGAGGAAUUCUGUCGAUGGAUACGGAAGCCUCGAAGUUACUUUAAAGUUUUUCUCCAGAUCCCUCCAAAUUUCAAAAUUCGAAUCUUGGAUGUGAUAGUUGAGAGUCACGUAAUGGUGCAAGUUCGACAAAAUUGAAAAGCAGCGAAUUUUUCCCCUCGAUCUUAAGGAACUCUUGCGCUUAUCCUUCCGGACGAGAAUGAUUUUUGGUUACAAAGGGACUAUAUCUGAUCUCUUUGAUUUCAGCCAUUGAUAUCUCGUAACAAAGAGCAUAAUAUAUUUGUCUGAAGGUGGCUAAUUUGUCUUCUCUUUCUGGGAUGGAAUAGGCACAAUUCUCUCACUGGGUGCAGGUAUCAGGAAGGUGGCACCAAUGAAAUACAAAAGGGGAUUCAACCAUCCAAACAACUGGCCAUGAAAAGAAAUCAUUUUCCACGCAAACAUUUACUUAGGUGCAGCGAAAGAGCCUUUUGAAAGUGGAAAAUCUCCAAACGACUGUGUUUGACCAUAUGUUAUUCAAGGAAGAGUCAACGAGUGAACAGAACUCUUUCGAAAACUGAUAAUAGAACUCGAUAGAGAGACAGAGAAAUGAAUUGUUUGCUCGAAAACGCGUGGUUAAAUUCACAUUGGUCGGUGAGAAGAUAGCGUUUUCAUUCAAAUCUGAAGCAAUGGCAGUUUGUUUCGAUAAAACUCUUAAAUGCUAUGUAAUGAAUCUGAAACCAGUAGGGUAGAAUAAAAUAGCUAUAAAAUCAAA